Molecule: long non-coding RNA, 1599 nt
Organism: Lycium barbarum (goji berry)
Lineage: Eukaryota; Viridiplantae; Streptophyta; Magnoliopsida; Solanales; Solanaceae
Exons: 3
Source: RefSeq, a predicted model, not a curated record
AAUUAGGGCGCUAAUUCCAACUCGGAAGAGUUACAUUGAAACAAAAUAAAAACUCAAUGGUUUUUAUUUGAUUGGAACAUAGAAAGACGGGUCAAUUAUAUCAAUUUUCCAAAAUUGACCUGUCCUUUCCACUUUACAACGCACCAUUAGUAGGAUAUUUUUGUUAUUACUUGGAAGAGAAAGACCUAUUUUUGAAAACUGCUUACUUCUUUUCAUCUUCAAAAAGUCUUGUGAUCAUAGAAACUCAAGAACUUGAUAGAACUCAAGCUGAUGAAAUUUGCAACAAAGGAAAGUGAAGAAAAUUUUCCAAAAUGGGUUUUCUCAGAUAUACACCUCACUUUAUCGAUUUCCUUGCUUGGCCGGUAAUUGCUCUGGUCUAUCCUCUUGGCGGAGCCAAGAAUUUGAAGGGAUUAAAAAAAAAAAAAGUAAAAGUGUCCCAUCUAAGAUUUUAUCCUAUGUCGAGCUCGAGGGGAUUCAACAAUUUAUAUAUAUCAGAAAAGUUGUAUUAUCCUUUUAUCUUAGUGUAAUAUUUAGGCGGAGGGAAUUCAAUUGAGGCCCCUUCACUAAUGGUAUCUACGCCCCUGGCUAAGUGCAUCCUAAGGCAUAACAAUGUUUCAAAUUAUUGAAUGCUUUCAUUUCCAAAUUUGGUUGUACUGGUGUAGCAUUUUUGCUUGUUACUGGUAACUUUUACCAAUUCUUUUGUGGGACCGCAGAUGUGCAUCAAUACGAGUGAUUGAGGCUGGCUCCAAGUAUCACAUGAGGAAGCUAGUCACAUAUUGGACCAUCUUAUCCUUUAUUUCUCUGUUUAAGCACGUCUUUGAGAAACUUAUUGAAUGGUAAUGUGCUGUACUCUUAGUUGGCUACAUUAAAAGGGCCAAAAAUUUGUGACCUUUAUUUUACGUGUAUUCCUUUCAUAAUCCUCUUUAAAUCAUAUGGAAAUAGGAGCUCUUUGAAUUAUUGACACUUGUUAAUUAGAUUAACUUCCAGUAAGAUCAUUUGGCAAAUUUUUUCUGUCUUGAAGAAAAUAAGGGGCAAACUCGAAGACAUUAAUGGUGAAUGAGCUUAUGAUAUCCUCUAUUGGUGGCCUUACCUUGUAGGCAGUUAGCUACUUGAUACUAAACCCAACAGAACAAAUAUAUGCUUCAUAUGCAAAUUCUUGUGCUUGUACUCACUCAUGUACUUACACUUUGUUUCUGGAUCCAUACCCUUAUAUUGACUCAUUGAAUUGUGACACAAUCUUUUUCAAGUGAACCUCAAAGUCAAAUAAUGCACUUCUUUCAGUUACUCGUCUAUGUUGGUAAUUAUAUGUCUGUUCUUGCUUGUGUUUAUUCCCUUGGUGUUAAGCUGAGAAUUUCCAGAGCUAGUUUGCUGAAGCAUCUCGAGAAAAUUUGUGCAAUAUGACAUGAGAAACUAUUCCUGUUGCAUAUACUAAUAUCUUUUCAUUUUACUUUGGCAGGGUUCCUCUGUGGCCAUAUAUAAAAUUAAUAACCAUAUGUUGGUUGGUGAUACCGCAGUUUAACAGUGCGUGCUAUCUUUCUCAAAACCUUAUUCGUCCAUGUUUUCCGCUUAAACUGCACGAUUGUAUCAGGCAGUUUAAUG